This 29-nucleotide non-coding RNA is filed under the name Rattus norvegicus (Norway rat). The record is from RNAcentral. Lineage: Eukaryota; Metazoa; Chordata; Mammalia; Rodentia; Muridae.
UCUUUAUGCGGGUUGCUAGGUUAGGUUUC